UUCGGAUCUAGUGGCGGACGGGUGAGUAACGCGUGAGAAUCUGGCUUCAGGUUCGGGAUAACAGUUGGAAACGACUGCUAAUACCGGAUAAGCCUUGUGGUGAAAGAUAAAUUGCCUGAAGAUGAGCUCGCGUCCGAUUAGCUAGUUGGUGUGGUAAAGGCGCACCAAGGCGGCGAUCGGUAGCUGGUCUGAGAGGACGACCAGCCACACUGGGACUGAGACACGGCCCAGACUCCUACGGGAGGCAGCAGUGGGGAAUUUUCCGCAAUGGGCGAAAGCCUGACGGAGCAAUACCGCGUGAGGGAGGAAGGCUCUUGGGUUGUAAACCUCUUUUCUCAGGGAAUAAGUACUGAAGGUACCUGAGGAAUCAGCAUCGGCUAACUCCGUGCCAGCAGCCGCGGUAAUACGGAGGAUGCAAGCGUUAUCCGGAAUGAUUGGGCGUAAAGCGUUCGUAGGUGGCUCAUCAAGUCGGCGGUCAAAGAGUCUGGCUUAACCAGAUAAAGGCAGUGGAAACUGAAGAGCUAGAGAAUGGUAGGGGUAGAGGGAAUUCCUGGUGUAGCGGUGAAAUGCGUAGAGAUCAGGAAGAACACCGGUGGCGAAAGCGCUCUGCUGGACCAUAACUGACACUGAGGGACGAAAGCUAGGGGAGCGAAUGGGAUUAGAUACCCCAGUAGUCCUAGCCGUAAACGAUGGAUACUAGGCGUUGCCCGUAUCGACCCGGGCAGUGUCGUAGCCAACGCGUUAAGUAUCCCGCCUGGGGAGUACGCACGCAAGUGUG
RNAcentral lists this ribosomal RNA (778 nucleotides) under Brasilonema sp. VBCCA 052003. RNAcentral's name for it is "bacterial SSU rRNA". It matches the Rfam family "Bacterial small subunit ribosomal RNA", at positions 85 to 896 of the family's 1533-position model. The record is from RNAcentral. Lineage: Bacteria; Bacillati; Cyanobacteriota; Cyanophyceae; Nostocales; Scytonemataceae.